CUGGUCUUGACAUCCCAGGAACCCUGUAGAGAUACGGGGGUGCCUUCGGGAACCUGGAGACAGGUGCUGCAUGGCUGUCGUCAGCUCGUGUCGCGAGAUGUUGGGUUAAGUCCCGCAACGAGCGCAACCCUUAUCCUUUGUUGCCAGCGGUCCGGCCGGGAACUCAAAGGAGACUGCCAGUGAUAAACUGGAGGAAGGUGGGGAUGACGUCAAGUCAUCAUGGCCCUUACGACCAGGGCUACACACGUGCUACAAUGGCGCAUACAAAGAGAAGCGACCUCGCGAGAGCAAGCGGACCCCAUAAAGUGCGUCGUAGUCCGGAUUGGAGUCUGCAACUCGACUCCAUGAAGUCGGAAUCGCUAGUAAUCGUGGAUCAGAAUGCCACGGUGAAUACGUUCCC
This 400-nucleotide ribosomal RNA is filed under the name uncultured Gammaproteobacteria bacterium. RNAcentral describes it as "bacterial SSU rRNA". It matches the Rfam family "Bacterial small subunit ribosomal RNA", at positions 975 to 1375 of the family's 1533-position model. Lineage: Bacteria; Pseudomonadati; Pseudomonadota; Gammaproteobacteria. The record is from RNAcentral.